AACGAACGCUGGCGGCGUGGAUAAGACAUGCAAGUCGAGCGCUGGUUACAGGGUAGCAAUAUUCUGUAGUCGGAGCGGCGCAAGGGUGCGUAACACGUGGGUAAUCUGCCAUGAAGUUUGGGAUAACUUGCUGAAAGGCGAGCUAAUACCGGAUGUGAAAAUUGGUUGGCAUCAAUUGAUUUUCAAAGCUGGGGACCGUAAGGCCUGGCGCUUCAUGAUGAGCCCGCGGCCUAUCAGCUAGUUGGUAAGGUAACGGCUUACCAAGGCUAAGACGGGUAGCUGGUCUGAGAGGACGACCAGCCACACUGGAACUGAGACACGGUCCAGACACCUACGGGUGGCAGCAGUCGAGAAUUUUUCACAAUGGGCGCAAGCCUGAUGGAGCGACGCCGCGUGGGGGAUGAAUGGCUUCGGCCCGUAAACCCCUGUCAUUUGCGAUCAAACCUUGUAUUUAAAAGAUGACGAGCUGAUAGUAGCGAAAGAGGAAGGGACGGCUAACU
This 500-nucleotide ribosomal RNA is filed under the name uncultured bacterium. RNAcentral describes it as "bacterial SSU rRNA". It matches the Rfam family "Bacterial small subunit ribosomal RNA", at positions 29 to 502 of the family's 1533-position model. The record is from RNAcentral.